GGCUAAGCGAGGAGCGAGAUUGGUCUGGUGCUGGUGGGGGAUUAUCUAGUUGAUGUAUUUACUUUAUCGCAUUUCCAUUUUGUCGAUAAAGUCUUGAUGAAUGAGAUACUUUGUUUUUCUUUUGAAUUUAAGCAAUUUACUCGCGGUUAUAUGUCUUCAUACAUAUAAUCGAUUCAUCUUUUGCUGCGAUACUCUGUAUAUUGUGAAUCCUUAUGAAAAAUGAGCCAUACCCGUUUUGUUUUUGAUCUUGAAA
This 253-nucleotide long non-coding RNA is filed under the name Salvia miltiorrhiza (redroot sage). RNAcentral's name for it is "long non-coding RNA (SMIL_LNC013307)". Lineage: Eukaryota; Viridiplantae; Streptophyta; Magnoliopsida; Lamiales; Lamiaceae. The record is from RNAcentral.